Non-coding RNA from Miniopterus natalensis, 3448 nucleotides. The record is from RefSeq and is a predicted model, not a curated record. NCBI's taxonomy places the organism in Eukaryota, Metazoa, Chordata, Mammalia, Chiroptera, Miniopteridae.
GGCCCCGUGGAGGCCGGUUUCGGUACCAACCUGGGUACUUCAACCGGGUUCUCACUUUGGGAAUGGGUGGCUGGGGCCAGAGAUCAGGACAGGUCUCCCUUCGGGCUCCGUUGCUCAGCGGGUUCCUGGAGGGACUGCGCUGAGCCAAAGUGAGGAGGGCACUGGAGGUGAUGAGCUUCACUUUACCCGAGUGCUGUGCACCUCUUCAGGAAAAGUGGGGGUUUCUGCGGUCCGUGCAGAGGGCUCAGAAUAGGGGUGUCACUGCAAGAGACCAGUAGUGAACUUGGCGUGCUCGGUGGGGUCCAGCCGCUUUCCUCUCUGUUCCAGGCUCCCACGAGCCCUCUUUCAAGAGGGGCCUGGCUGAUGAGGCGCGUAAAUAGUCUGUAGUAGUAAGGAACCAGGGAUGUAAUUCCGCUGCUUGGAGGGGCUGCAUCAUGGAACCUUUGUCAGGAGCCGGGCUGUUGAUGGGGAGGAAGUGGGUAAGUCCUGGCUUCUUGCAUUGUGAAGGGGCUCUCGCAGCCUAACCAAAGCCGGUGCCUCCACUAGUUCUCCUUCCCCAGGAUUCCCUGGUCCAAACCAGUACAUAUUUUCUUUAUUUUUUUAAAAUUGACUUUGAGAGAGAGGAAAAAAACCAUCAAUUUUGUUGUUGUUGUUCCACUUAGCUAAGCAUUCAUUGGUUGCUUUUUGCCUGUGCUCUGACCAGAGAUCAAACAAAAACGUUGAGGUAUGGGGAGGAGGCUUUAACUGAGGGAGCUACCCGCCUGAGCAGUACAUAUUUUCUUGAUGCAAGAGAGCCUGAAGCCUAGAAUUUUUGGCCUGAGAUGAAGGUGCCUACCCAGCUCAGCAUGAUUCUCUCUUAUCAGAUUAAAUGAUAAAAGCAAUGACACAAAAGAUGGUAUAGACAGAGCAGAAUCAGUAAGAUCUCAUGUGGAAAGUGGACUCCCAACUCUAUAAUCAAGGACUCAUCCAGAUAGCUCUCCCAAGACUACAGCGACUCUGUUAUGGCCUGUUGGGUCCUCUGGAAUUCCAUGAUAAGGCUUCUGGUGGAAGUAGGCAGCAGCUCUUUCAGCUAGAGAUGUUCUCUCCUCCUGGAUCAGGACUGGCUGCAUAGUACCUGAGGAUGUUCCUUGGCCGUAUGAUGAUGGUUGGAGAUCCUUCUCAACCUUGGAGAAAACUGACCGUUAGUGAGGAUUUGUAAGCGCCAAACUCGCACACGGUUUCCGAUACGACCGCUCCACAGUCCGCCCGAGACCUUGAGCGCUGCAGUGGGAAGCUCGACCCCCGCAGCCCUGCAGGCCCCUGAGCGCGCCUUCCUCCUCGGCUUUUCCUCCUGGCACCAGGUCACUGGCCCCGCGAGCAUCGCUAAGGCCCGGUCUGCGGGUUACACGCACGCCCUUCCAGGCCCAAUCGCAGCGCCUGGUGUAGGCGUUUGACUGCAAAUGUCCUAUCAACCGGCGCGACUGUGGGGACCAGCACCCAGCUCACGUGGGUGCCAGCGCCGAGAAGAGGAGCCCGCCCUGUGCCUGGUUUAGUAAGGUUAACUCGACGCAGCGAGGAAAGGACGUCACUGCUUUGGGACAGGAACCAGUUCAUUUUGCGGCCAGGACGCGCCCUCGGAGGCCUCGUGCGUCAGCGGACCAGGGGGAACCGAGGUGGAAUCGCGCAGAGGACGCUGACCAAGCCCGCUCCUUUCCCGGGAAACCCCUCCGAACGCCUGAGCCCGCGCCCCAGAGCCCGGCCCCCUGUCAAGCGUUGCCUAGCAACAGCGUCCUAGAGUCUGGCCCAAGGGGCCAAUCAGCGCAGAUAUAGUUUUUCAACGUCGGGAGUAAUCCAAUCACUGGGCGCGGUCAGAAGUCGCGUCCUCAAGCCAAUAGCCGCAGGCACCCAACGAGGGGUUAGGAAUUAUGGGAGCGGGAGCUAGAGUUGGGAGCGGACUCAGACUUGAUAAGAUCACCUAGAGGGAACUAACGACGAGCUUCGGCCUGCGUGAGAGUGACGGCCGUGAGGGCGGGUCGCCGCCAUAUCCUCUUAAGGCAUUUUCCGGUACCGUUGUUCCACUCCGAGCGUCAGAGCGACUCCGUUCUGGCCGCGGCGUGGCCCCACGCGGAACCGGAUCCGUGCCGCUCAGACGCCGGGCCCAGCGGAGCAGUGUCUCAGCCCGGAAGAGACCGUGGCCCUGGGGCUGUAACAUCUAGGACCUGGGAACUGAAAGAGUCCAAAGCGCCGCCCCUGCCCGCGCCCGCGCCCCAUCCGGAGCCCAGAGCCUGGACCUGAGUGGAGGAGGAAGGGGCUGGAAAGCUUCGCGGCCAAGGCCGAGUAUUUCUUCCAGGGGGCGCGUUGAAGCCUAUAGCACCGAGGGCCCUGUGCCGGGAAGUGAUGCCAGAGACCUACGGCCACCUGGGGGCGCUCGGUGAAGCCCUUUAUGGCCCCGCGCUGCCCAUUUUUCUCAUCCAUUUAUUCGUUUAUUCGCGACCUACUCAAACCAAUCUCAGGCCAGAGCUGCAGACGCGGAGGCUGCCCAGAGAGCACAAAAUGCUUAGAGGAGGGUAGGGAAAUGAGCUAAAAUGGCUGGUAUCAGGCUCAGGCUUGGGAAGGACUGUCCCAGAAGCGCUCCUGGAAGCCUUGAGGGGUGGGUUGGUUGGUUGGUUGGUUGGUUGGUUGGUUGUUCUUUGGUGUGUCUGUGUGUGUGAAUAACUUACCAUGACCAUCUUUCCAUGUUUACGACUACAACAUGGUUAUUUCAGCAGCUUUAUUGAGAUGUUAUUCACAGACUGUAUCACUCACCCAUUUUAAGUGCACAAUGCAAUAUUCUUUGUAUUUUCAGUUAUGAUACCACACCACAAUAGAUAUUAGCACAUUUCAUCACCCCAGAAAGAAACCCCUUAGCCAUCACGCCCUCAUUCUCCCCUCCUGCAGCCCUUGGAAACCACUAACCUACCUUCUGUCUAUAUAGAUUUGCCUAUUUGGGACAUUUCAUAUAAAUGGACUCAAAAGACAUGCGGUCUUUUGAAUCUGGCUCCGUUCACAUAACAUAAUGUUUUUAAAUGGUGUACCAGGAAUCAUUAUUUAAAAUUUUUUUAAAAUAGAUUUUAUUUUUGAGAGUAUUUUAGGGUUCGCAGUACAAAUGAGCUGAAAGUACAGCGUUCUCUCUGCCUUCAAACAUACACAGCCUCCUCCAUUAUCAACAUCCCAUACCAGAGGGGUACAUUUGUUACAAUCUAUGAACCAACACUGAAAAAAUAUUAUCACCCCAAAUCCAUAGUGCUCAUAAGGGUUCACUUUUGGUGGUGUACAGUCCAUGAGUUUUGACAAAUGUCUAAAGACAUGUAUACAUCAUCACAGUAUCCAUCGUUAUAUACAAUCAUUUCACCACCCUAAAAAUCCCCUGUGCUCCACCAUUUAUCACUCCUCCUCCCCAUCCUCUUAUAACCACUGAUCUUUUCACUGU